AGUCUUUGUACGAGAGUUAUGGUGGAGAAGGAUGAGGAAUUAGUUCACAUUUGUAGAGAUCAACUAAUUUUAUGACUAUUAUGUCGCCUAUAAGUCCAAUUGAGAAGAUGCUAGUUUUGGUUAUCGAAGCUAGAUUAACUCCCAAAAAUAGAGGCAUAGAUGUGAUUAUUUGAAUUUAAAGUUCAUUAAAAAUAAUCAAGCUGAAUUAAUCACAGAUCUAUUUAUGUGUUAAUUCAAUUAUGACGUUCUCAAUGUAACUUACCUAAACCAUGAGUAAGUGAAUG
RNAcentral lists this long non-coding RNA (284 nucleotides) under Gossypium barbadense (sea-island cotton). RNAcentral describes it as "long non-coding RNA (GBAR_LNC015033)". Lineage: Eukaryota; Viridiplantae; Streptophyta; Magnoliopsida; Malvales; Malvaceae. The record is from RNAcentral.